Molecule: ribosomal RNA, 465 nt
Filed under: Vreelandella stevensii
Lineage: Bacteria; Pseudomonadati; Pseudomonadota; Gammaproteobacteria; Oceanospirillales; Halomonadaceae
Description: partial 16S ribosomal RNA
Rfam family: Bacterial small subunit ribosomal RNA
Source: RNAcentral
CCUACGGGAGGCUGCAGUGGGGAAUAUUGGACAAUGGGCGAAAGCCUGAUCCAGCCAUGCCGCGUGUGUGAAGAAGGCCUUCGGGUUGUAAAGCACUUUCAGUGGGGAAGAAAGCCUUGGGGCUAAUACCCUCGAGGAAGGACAUCACCCACAGAAGAAGCACCGGCUAACUCCGUGCCAGCAGCCGCGGUAAUACGGAGGGUGCGAGCGUUAAUCGGAAUUACUGGGCGGAAAGCGCGCGUAGGCGGUCUGAUAAGCCGGUUGUGAAAGCCCCGGGCUCAACCUGGGAACGGCAUCCGGAACUGUCAGGCUAGAGUGCAGGAGAGGAAGGUAGAAUUCCCGGUGUAGCGGUGAAAUGCGUAGAGAUCGGGAGGAAUACCAGUGGCGAAGGCGGCCUUCUGGACUGACACUGACGCUGAGGUGCGAAAGCGUGGGUAGCAAACAGGAUUAGAUACCCGUGUAGUC